Molecule: small nucleolar RNA, 87 nt
Organism: Hyaena hyaena (striped hyena)
Lineage: Eukaryota; Metazoa; Chordata; Mammalia; Carnivora; Hyaenidae
Product: small nucleolar RNA SNORD35
Exons: 1
Source: RefSeq, a predicted model, not a curated record
CACAGAUGAUGGCUCUUUCUCAUGACGGUCUGCGGAUGCUGCUGUGGGCAGUGCCAAAAAUGGCAAUAGCUCAGCUGAUGCCAGGAA